Molecule: ribosomal RNA, 207 nt
Filed under: uncultured bacterium
Lineage: Bacteria
Description: partial 16S ribosomal RNA
Rfam family: Bacterial small subunit ribosomal RNA
Source: RNAcentral
UCUGCAGGUUGAUAUUUAAGUCUUUUGUUAAACCUCCGGGCUCAACCCGGAAUCUGCAAAGGAAACUAUUUAUCUUGAGUAUGGUAGGGGUAAAGGGAAUUUCCAGUGGAGCGGCGAAAUGCGUAGAUAUUGGAAAGAACACCAACAGCGAAGGCACUUUACUGGGCCAGUACUGACACUCAGAGACGAAAGCUAGGGGAGCAAACA